GUUCCAUAAAGCCUAGUUCUCAUUCAUCGCAAACCGUCGGCGAUGGGAGCUUUGCGACGUCGGCGACCGCUUGCCAUUUAUGAGAACACAUCAAAAAUUAUAUCGCCGAUUGUCCGUAAUCGUCGCCGAACAUCGGCGAUGACAUCGCAGGAAACAAAAAAGUUUGUUUCUUGCGACCAUCGCCGACUGCCACCUGCUUGAAAAAUCUAUGAGAAAUGAGUAAAAGUUGUUUUUUCCUCAACAAGCAAGGAAAUAAUCAACUGAAGUUUGACAGAAAUCAUGAACUUUACGUUGAAUGGGCCCAUUUUGUGGGAAAUUUGGGAAAUUUCGAAACACAUCGGCUGUCAUCUGCGACGAUCACCGAUGUAUGAGAACUUUCGUGCAUUCGCGCUCGGCGAGUAUCGGCGAUAAGCGUCGCCGAUCGUCGGUGACAGAUUGCGAUGAAUGAGAACUAGGCUU
Paramuricea clavata is the source of this 459-nucleotide non-coding RNA. NCBI's taxonomy places the organism in Eukaryota, Metazoa, Cnidaria, Anthozoa, Malacalcyonacea, Plexauridae. The record is from the annotation of a GenBank genome assembly.